CUCAGUGGCGCUUCUCCAUGCAGGAUGUAGGACGUGGGAAGGGGGAGGGACGCACACUUUGUAAACAGGAAUAGCUGCAUCAUCAGAUUGUUGCUGGAUAGAUACUUUCAUAUCUAACAUGCUGGCGAUGCUAUCUAAUGUUAACGGGGCUAGCUACCCUUGUAUCAGGAUGCCUCGCUCCAGUCCGAUUUGAUUUAUUUUACGAUGUCAGCAUGGCUUAACAUGUGUUCUUUCGUUUUUGACCUCGACAUUAUUGCUGGAUAGAUACUUUCAUAUCUAACAUGCUAGCUAAUGCUAACGACGCUAGCUCACCUCAUAUCUGGAUGCCUCACUCGUGUUCCCGAGAGAGCAGCAUACUGGCCCUCCGUUCCCAAACCUGAAGCCCCCAUGUUCCCGAGCAGGAAAGACCAGAAAAAAAGUGUUGUCUUAAGAUCUGCCAACCUGCUCGUGGGUGACAGGUAACCGUCUUUCCACCAAGCUAUUCCAGGCCUGGAGUGGCACGCUGGAACUUCCAGAGGCUUGUAGACCUGAAGCAGUGUGAUGUGGUCCAGAUCUGCCAUGCACUCUUCCACUGCCUGACAGCCUCACCCAGAAGUGCAUACAUUGGGCCUAUCAAGACUGACAAAGCAGAGAUGGGUGGCUGACAAGGAAAAAUAAAACAUAUACACACACACUCAUUAUCCACAAUGUAAAUAAGUUGUAAUUACUUGUUUAUUUUAUGUAUGAUCCAUUUUAUUUGAGGAUUGAAGAUAUCUACUCCUAUAUAUCCAUGAUCAAUAUCUGCAUAAUUACUCUAAAUAUCUAUCAAAUCUACGUGUGAUUGAUAAUAUUGUAAAAUACUUUGUUGAAAAACAUGCCUCGCUCUCUCACACACACAUUAGACCCAAUGUAAAUAAAUUGUAAUAACUUGUUUAUUUUGAGGAAAAUAUCUGCAAUAAAGUAGAUUCACAGUUAAA
Molecule: long non-coding RNA, 956 nt
Organism: Oncorhynchus kisutch (coho salmon)
Lineage: Eukaryota; Metazoa; Chordata; Actinopteri; Salmoniformes; Salmonidae
Exons: 4
Source: RefSeq, a predicted model, not a curated record